RNAcentral lists this ribosomal RNA (497 nucleotides) under uncultured bacterium. Its description in RNAcentral is "partial 16S ribosomal RNA". It matches the Rfam family "Bacterial small subunit ribosomal RNA", at positions 28 to 507 of the family's 1533-position model. The record is from RNAcentral.
GAUGAACGCUGGCGGCGUGCCUAAUACAUGCAAGUCGAGCGAACAGACGAGGAGCUUGCUCCUCUGACGUUAGCGGCGGACGGGUGAGUAACACGUGGAUAACCUACCUAUAAGACUGGGAUAACUUCGGGAAACCGGAGCUAAUACCGGAGAAUAUAUUGAACCGCAUGGUUCAAUAGUGAAAGUCGGUUUUGCUGUCACUUCUAGAUGGAUCCGCGCCGCAUUAGCUAGUUGGUAAGGUCACGGCUUACCAAGGCGACGAUGCGUAGCCGACCUGAGAGGGUGAUAGGCCACACGGGAACGGAGACACGGUCCAGACGCCUACGGGAGGCAGCAGUAGGGAAUCUUCCGCAAUGGGCGAAAGCCUGACGGAGCAACGCCGCGUGAGUGAUGAAGGUCUUCGGAUCGUAAAACUCUGUUAUUAGGGAAAAACAAAUGUGUAAGUAACUAUGCACGUCUUGACGGUACCUAAUCAGAAAGCCACGGCUAACUACGUG